This 272-nucleotide ribosomal RNA is filed under the name uncultured bacterium. Its description in RNAcentral is "partial small subunit ribosomal RNA". It matches the Rfam family "Bacterial small subunit ribosomal RNA", at positions 26 to 285 of the family's 1533-position model. The record is from RNAcentral.
AGAACGAACGCUGGCGGCGUGCCUAAUACAUGCAAGUCGAACGCGAAAGCCCCGCAAGGGGCAAGUAGAGUGGCAAACGGGUGAGUAACGCGUGGGCGACCUACCUUCGAGUGAGGGAUAACCUUCCGAAAGGAGGGCUAAUACCGCAUGACAUCCCGUGUUUGGAUACACGGAUAUCAAAGCCGGGGAUCGCAAGACCUGGCGCUUGGAGAGGGGCCCGCGUCCGAUUAGCUAGUUGGUGAGGUAACGGCUCACCAAGGCUUCGAUCGGUA